GACAUAUGAUAGGCAUCUGCCCUUGAGGUCUUGCCAGCACCCCUCCUGCCCUCUGCAGCUUCCUGGUUGAAUGAGGGGCUGCAAGGUGACCACACAGGCUGCCCUGAUGGGCAUGUCCUGGCCUCUGGUCCAUAUCCCUUUCUGCUUGGCACUGGCCUCUCUUGGCUCUCACCUCCACCUUUGCCAAGCCCAGGAGCCUCCUUCCUCCAGGAAGCCUUCCGGAGAACCCUUCCCCCACCCCAACCAAGGUGCUCCCUCUCACUGCCUUGUUGCAAUUGUUUGUUUUGUAAUUGUCUUUCCCUGAGUUUGUCUUUCCUACCAGAUGGUGAUCCCUAGCAGGGAGGGCUGAGUAGGAACUUCAGAUUUUAUUUCCAGUUUCGUGCUCAAGAUAGCACAGGGCCUGGCCUGAGAAGGUGCUUAGGAAAUGUCUGUGGAGUAAAAAUGAUGGCAGCUAUAUUUCUUCAAUGAUUCCUACUUGCCCAGUGCUAUUUUGAGUGAUUUACAUGUGUGAACUCUUUAAACCUCACAACCACCUGAAGUUACUGUCGUUAUCCCCACUUACAUGUAAGGAAACUGAGGCAGAGAAGUAACUUACUCAAGGUUACACAGGUGAGAAGCGGCAGGACAGGGCCGGUUACUUUUAGCUAUUACAGGAAACAGCCUCCAGGUGAAUGGAAUAAAGCCUGCUGAUUAGUACUUUGUGAGAGGCUGAUGGGGCCAAGUAGAGUGCUGUGGUUUCUUCUGAAAGACAUUGCCUCAUGGGGGGAUUUUGCAACAAAUGGAACCUUCCACGCAGUCUGAAAGGCUACCUGUGCAACUCCAGCCUGGGCAUGGUCCCUCGUGGCUGCUCGGUCCCCCAGGCCUUUUUGAGACUCUAGUACAGCUUCUCUGGGCUGUAGGCCCCUAGCUACGAUGUCCCUUCGUUUCUUGUCUGGAACAUGGAUCUCAGAAUUAUAUCUGCCUCAGGGGCCUAAGAGAUGAUCAAAUGAAGGAGGGAAGGGCUUCAGUGAUUAUCAAGUGCAGGGCAGAGAUCCUUGUGGCUAUUUUUGUUGGUACAGGAAGAAAGUAAGGCGUGAUGAGAGUGAGAAACACUUAGCAUAUUUAGGAGAGUCUCCUGCUGUGGGCCAGGUGAGGAGGAGAAGGCCCCUGCCAUCCCCAGAGUAGCAUCUCAGGGCUGACUUGCAUUUGUUGCUUGAUCUUGCCUGGGAAAUGCAGUCUCCCUUGACUCACUCUUUUUUGUUUUGUUUUGUUUUGUUUUGUAAGGGUGAUUUCAUGAACAUUCUCAGAGACAGUCACACUAGAGUGCAGAGGGGCAAGGGCAUGGAAAUUAUGGGCUUGGACCCUGGAGCCAGAUGGCUUGGGUUUAUCUCCUGGCUCCAUGGCUGGUAGCAUAGCCUCCCAACCUUGGGCAAGUCACUUUACAUCUUUGACCUGCGGUUUUUUCUCCUGUAAAAUAGGAAAAUCAUGUUGAGGAAAGGGGCCUGUCUGGUGAGCCGAGUACUGGAUAUUAUGCUUGCAUUUCCUUCUGUUACAUCCCCACAGCAGCUAUAGGAGGUAGACCUCUCUAUCCCCAUUUUACAGAUGAGAACAGCAAGGUUCGGGUUGUUAAGUACCUUGACAGCUAAUGUCAAAGAGCAUGUAUGUGGCAGAGUGGGAAUUUAAGUCCAGGUUUUCUGGCUCUAAAGUCUUCAAUGUUUUCAUAGUUUGCUGCUUUGUAGCCUUAGAGCCCAGUGCAGGGCAGAUACAUGAUAAUUGUUAAAGGCUUGUCUUUUACAUAGUCUUGGUUGGGAGAGGGGGCUCCUAAGUGAUCUUCCAGAGCUGAAAAUCGGGGCCAGCUUCAGGUGCAUGCAAUCUGUGCAGUCACACAGGGUCCCCCACUUAGGAAGCCCCUCCCAUUUGGUUUAAUGCUGUGCUGUCGCCAUCUUGAAAUUCUUCAUUAUUUUUGUAGAAGAGGCCCCACAUUUUCAUUUCGCAUUGGGCCCAUUCUGUAGCUGCUGCUGUUUAAAGUAUUGAGAGAAGUGAAAAAUGGUGAGGGCAUGAGAGCCCUGUUCCCCCUCUAGGGGGCCUGAUCAGUGGCCAUCAGCCCUUGGGCCAGCUUGGAAUCAUGAAGAUGUGUGCUGACUGGCCACUUCAUAUCUUCACAAACAUCUAGAACCAUGGCAGCAAAAGACGAUUCUAGUAGACCUUUCACCAAGAUGGUUAGUUAGCAGGGCUGGUGUGUCAUCCCAGGGGACAUAAGCCUGAUUUUCCUUGGUGAGGGGUGAUUUUCAGGCCUGCUGGAGGACACAUAACAGAGGUAAAUGUGCAGGU
RNAcentral lists this long non-coding RNA (2310 nucleotides) under Homo sapiens (human). Its description in RNAcentral is "non-protein coding lnc-ATP6V1G1-2:1". The record is from RNAcentral. Lineage: Eukaryota; Metazoa; Chordata; Mammalia; Primates; Hominidae.